UGGGGAAUAUUGGACAAUGGGGCAACCCUGAUCCAGCAAUGCCGCGUGAGUGAUGAAGGCCUUCGGGUUGUAAAGCUCUUUUGUCCAGGGCAGCGAUGAUGACGGUACCUGGAGAAUAAGCCCCGGCUAACUUCGUGCCAGCAGCCGCGGUAAUACGAAGGGGGCAAGCGUUGUUCGGAAUUACUGGGCGUAAAGGGCGCGUAGGCGGCCGAUCAAGUCAGGCGUGAAAUUCCCGGGCUCAACCUGGGGCUGCGCUUGAUACUGAUUGGCUUGAAUGCGGGAGAGGAUAGUGGAAUUCCCAGUGUAGAGGUGAAAUUCGUAGAUAUCAGGAGGAACACCGGUGGCGAAGGCGGUUCUCUGGGCAUUACCUGACGCUGAGGAGCGAAAGCAUGGGGAGCGAACA
This 403-nucleotide ribosomal RNA is filed under the name uncultured Rhodospirillaceae bacterium. RNAcentral's name for it is "bacterial SSU rRNA". It matches the Rfam family "Bacterial small subunit ribosomal RNA", at positions 355 to 774 of the family's 1533-position model. Lineage: Bacteria; Pseudomonadati; Pseudomonadota; Alphaproteobacteria; Rhodospirillales; Rhodospirillaceae. The record is from RNAcentral.